RNAcentral lists this transfer RNA (85 nucleotides) under Pseudanabaenococcus habilitatus PCC 7502. RNAcentral's name for it is "tRNA-Ser (CGA) (tRNA-Ser-CGA-1-1)". It matches the Rfam family "tRNA". From Rfam's summary of the family: Transfer RNA (tRNA) molecules are approximately 80 nucleotides in length. The record is from Rfam by way of RNAcentral. Lineage: Bacteria; Bacillati; Cyanobacteriota; Cyanophyceae; Pseudanabaenales; Pseudanabaenaceae.
GGAGAGGUGGCAGAGUGGUUGAAUGCGGCAGUCUCGAAAACUGUUAUGGUGAAAGCUAUCGAGGGUUCAAAUCCCUCCCUCUCCG